AGCGAACGCUGGCGGCAGGCUUAACACAUGCAAGUCGAGCGGAUGUAGCAAUACAUCAGCGGCAGACGGGUGAGUAACACGUGGGAACGUACCUUUUGGUUCGGAACAACACAGGGAAACUUGUGCUAAUACCGGAUAAGCCCUUACGGGGAAAGAUUUAUCGCCGAAAGAUCGGCCCGCGUCUGAUUAGCUAGUUGGUGAGGUAAUGGCUCACCAAGGCGACGAUCAGUAGCUGGUCUGAGAGGAUGAUCAGCCACAUUGGGACUGAGACACGGCCCAAACUCCUACGGGAGGCAGCAGUGGGGAAUAUUGGACAAUGGGCGCAAGCCUGAUCCAGCCAUGCCGCGUGAGAGAUGAAGGCCCUAGGGUUGUAAAGCUCUUUUGUGCGGGAAGAUAAUGUCGGU
This 404-nucleotide ribosomal RNA is filed under the name bacterium Ellin5240. RNAcentral describes it as "bacterial SSU rRNA". It matches the Rfam family "Bacterial small subunit ribosomal RNA", at positions 29 to 458 of the family's 1533-position model. Lineage: Bacteria; Pseudomonadati; Pseudomonadota; Alphaproteobacteria; Hyphomicrobiales; Nitrobacteraceae. The record is from RNAcentral.